GGCGCGGUAGCAAAGUGGUUAUGCAGCGGAUUGCAAAUCCGUCUACGUCGGUUCGAUUCCGGCCCGCGCCUCCA
RNAcentral lists this transfer RNA (74 nucleotides) under Lysobacter sp. RNAcentral's name for it is "tRNA-Cys". It matches the Rfam family "tRNA". From Rfam's summary of the family: Transfer RNA (tRNA) molecules are approximately 80 nucleotides in length. Their secondary structure includes four short double-helical elements and three loops (D, anti-codon, and T loops). Lineage: Bacteria; Pseudomonadati; Pseudomonadota; Gammaproteobacteria; Lysobacterales; Lysobacteraceae. The record is from RNAcentral. RNAcentral also lists the same sequence under 7 other names.